UGGGGAAUAUUGGACAAUGGGCGAAAGCCUGAUCCAGCCAUGCCGCGUGUGUGAAGAAGGUCUUCGGAUUGUAAAGCACUUUAAGUUGGGAGGAAGGGUUGUAGAUUAAUACUCUGCAAUUUUGACGUUACCGACAGAAUAAGCACCGGCUAACUCUGUGCCAGCAGCCGCGGUAAUACAGAGGGUGCAAGCGUUAAUCGGAAUUACUGGGCGUAAAGCGCGCGUAGGGGGUUUGUUAAGUUGGAUGUGAAAGCCCCGGGCUCAACCUGGGAACUGCAUCCAAAACUGGCAAGCUAGAGUACGGUAGAGGGUGGUGGAAUUUCCUGUGUAGCGGUGAAAUGCGUAGAUAUAGGAAGGAACACCAGUGGCGAAGGCGACCACCUGGACUGAUACUGACACUGAGGUGCGAAAGCGUGGGGAGCAAACA
RNAcentral lists this ribosomal RNA (427 nucleotides) under uncultured bacterium. RNAcentral describes it as "partial 16S ribosomal RNA". It matches the Rfam family "Bacterial small subunit ribosomal RNA", at positions 355 to 774 of the family's 1533-position model. The record is from RNAcentral.